This 352-nucleotide ribosomal RNA is filed under the name uncultured bacterium. RNAcentral describes it as "bacterial SSU rRNA". It matches the Rfam family "Bacterial small subunit ribosomal RNA", at positions 32 to 359 of the family's 1533-position model. The record is from RNAcentral.
AAUCAACGCUGGCGGCGUGCCUCAGACAUGCAAGUCGAACGCGAAAUUCCCUUUCGGGGGGAGAGUAGAGUGGCGCACGGGUGAGUAACACGUAGGUAAUCUACCUCUGGGUGGGGAAUAACAGCCGGAAACGGCUGCUAAUACCGCAUAAUGCAGCGGCACCAUAUGGUGACAGUUGUUAAAGCGGGGGAUCCUGAAAGGGACCUCGCGCCUGAAGAGGAGCCUGCGGCAGAUUAGCUAGUUGGUAAGGUAAUGGCUUACCAAGGCGACGAUCUGUAGCCGGCCUGAGAGGGCGGUCGGCCACACUGACACUGACAUACGGGUCAGACUCCUACGGGAGGCAGCAGUCGGG